UCCAAGGGGGUGCCCAACUAGGCCGAGCGGCCAAUGGCUGAGAACAUACCCCUCGAACCUGAUCCGGAUAAUACCGGCGGAGGAAAAAUU
RNAcentral lists this non-coding RNA (90 nucleotides) under bovine gut metagenome. The record is from RNAcentral.